ACUAACGCUGGCGGCGUGCCUAACACAUGCAAGUCGAACGAGUUGGUUUAUAGUAGCAAUAUUGUAGACCGGCAAGUGGCGAACGGGUGAGUAACACGUAGAUAAUCUGCCUUUCAGACGGGGACAACUCAGGGAAACUUGUGCUAAUACCCGAUGAGACUACGGAGGGGGACCUCUGCAGCCAAAAGUGGGCGAAAGCUCACGCUGAAAGAUGAGUCUGCGUCCCAUUAGCUAGUUGGCAGGGUAAUGGCCUACCAAGGCGACGAUGGGUAGCGGGUCUGAGAGGAUGAUCCGCCACACUGGAACUGAAACACGGACCAGACUCCUACGGGAGGCAGCAGUGAGGAAUAUUGGACAAUGGGCGCAAGCCUGAUCCAGCGACGCCGCGUGAGUGAUGAAGGCCUUUGGGU
RNAcentral lists this ribosomal RNA (410 nucleotides) under uncultured bacterium. RNAcentral describes it as "bacterial SSU rRNA". It matches the Rfam family "Bacterial small subunit ribosomal RNA", at positions 29 to 423 of the family's 1533-position model. The record is from RNAcentral.